This 439-nucleotide ribosomal RNA is filed under the name uncultured bacterium. RNAcentral's name for it is "bacterial SSU rRNA". It matches the Rfam family "Bacterial small subunit ribosomal RNA", at positions 55 to 486 of the family's 1533-position model. The record is from RNAcentral.
AUGCAAGUCGAGGGGUAACGGAAGUAGCUUGCUACUAGACGACGACCGGCGCACGGGUGAGUAACGCGUAUGUAAUCUGCCUUGUACAGAGGGAUAGCCCAGAGAAAUUUGGAUUAAUACCUCAUAGUAUUACCGAAUCGCAUGAUUUGGUAAUUAAAGCUCCGGCGGUACAAGAUGAACAUGCGUGACAUUAGCUAGUUGGUAAGGUAACGGCUUACCAAGGCUACGAUGUCUAGGGGUUCUGAGAGGAUGAUCCCCCACACUGGUACUGAGACACGGACCAGACUCCUACGGGAGGCAGCAGUGAGGAAUAUUGGUCAAUGGACGCAAGUCUGAACCAGCCAUCCCGCGUGAAGGAUGACUGCCCUAUGGGUUGUAAACUUCUUUUAUAAUGCAAAUAAACCUACUUUCGUGAAAGUAGCUGAAGGUAGCAUAUGAA